This is an RNA transcript of Drosophila simulans, 5129 nucleotides long. It is a transcript of the gene named protein boule, with no coding region annotated. The record is from RefSeq and is a predicted model, not a curated record. The transcript is spliced from 9 exons. NCBI's taxonomy places the organism in Eukaryota, Metazoa, Arthropoda, Insecta, Diptera, Drosophilidae.
GGAAUUUUGGGUUUUUUGGAAGAGAAAAACACAUGUGUGUGUCGCCACAGUGUUUUGGUUUUUUCUCGGCCGCCCAAGUAGACGGCGCGUAGUUUUUCAUUUUGACGGGAGUUUUACUUUCGGUCGUCGCCUUACACUCAUUUCUAAUUGUGAUUCGUAGGAAGUAAGUUGUCUAGUGCUAUAUAUAUAUUCAAGUAAAAUUGUUUUAAAUCGGAACACACAACAAUAAUAUACAAGCAAACACCACCAAAUAUCGGAAAAGAAAGAAGAGCAAAUAAUUAAAUUACAAUAGAAACCAAGAGAAUAUCACGCAAAAUCCCAUCAUCCCAUCGUCUUUGGUCUUCUGGUUCUUGUUCAUCACCAACGUUAUCGAUAUUGAUAUUAAAUAGUCUGUGGAUAUUAAGAUACUUAUAUACAAACGCAUCGUAUCUGGGAUAAACGUUUACCACCAGGAAUAUUAAUGAUACGCAACGGCUGUAACUGUAAACUGUGUCCCCUCUCACGUAAGACGUAACGUAAGGCAGCCUGUGGAAACGACGUAUAGUUUGGACGCAAUCAGAAAAAUCUCUACGGAGGACGCAGCUAACGCAAGAAGUACAGCCAACUGUAUACAUGCGUGCUACAAGUAAACCAGUGAAAGACAUCUCAAUAGCCCCAGCCGUCGCAUAACCGUCAUUCAAUCCAAUCCGAUCCGAUCCGAUUCGAUCUGAUUCGUUUUGAGCUGAUCUAAUACAACCUCCGCCGUACCCAAAAAACAAUAUAAAUUGCAAAACACCGGAGCCGCUCGAUCCAGCGAACGGCAGCGACAAGAAGUUUUUCGGCCAGCGCGCACCCCCAAUCUCCAGAAACAGCCUCAAGAUUCUGCCCUUCGGAGCACCCAACUUUCGUCUGGAGACGACACCCGCUGAGAUGCACAAGAUAGCAGCAGCGCCGCCUCCAUCGGCAACGCCCGGCGGAGGACUGGAGACGCCCCUGGCGGCGCCCAAAUACGGCACACUAAUACCCAAUCGCAUCUUUGUGGGUGGCAUCAGCGGCGAUACCACCGAGGCCGAUCUAACCCGCGUCUUCAGCGCCUAUGGCACGGUAAAGAGCACCAAAAUCAUCGUGGAUCGAGCAGGCGUGAGCAAGGGCUACGGAUUCGUCACCUUCGAGACGGAGCAGGAGGCGCAAAGACUGCAAGCGGAUGGUGAAUGCGUGGUACUACGAGAUCGGAAGCUGAACAUUGCACCGGCCAUCAAAAAGCAGCCCAAUCCUCUGCAGUCAAUUGUGGCCACAAACGGAGCCGUCUACUAUACCACCACGCCGCCGGCACCGAUCAGCAAUAUACCUAUGGAUCAGUUCGCAGCCGCUGUAUAUCCGCCAGUUACUGACUUUACAGCCGCUGGAGUGCCAGCCAUCUACCCACCUUCAGCCAUGCAAUAUCAGCCAUUCUAUCAGUACUACAGUGUGCCAAUGAAUGUACCCACCAUUUGGCCUCAGAAUUACCAAGGUUAAAUCCGAAAAAAAAGAAAAACAUAAAGUAAACAAAUUUUCGUAGUCGCCAAUUUUUCGUUGAGAGCUGCCCUGAAUAAUAAAAUCAUACCAACAACUAAACUGCAACAACAACAACUGCAACGACAACUACAAACUACAACAAUCUGCGACAACAACAACUACAACAACAAUACCACGCUAUAUGCUAUAUAUGAAUUUAUCCAUGUUAACUUUGAGGAUGCAACAGCAACAGCAACAAUAGUGAUGCUACUACUACUACUACUACCAAAACAAGAACAACAACAAACAUGCAACAAAGAGCCACAGCAACAAAAGUAAACUACAAAGCAUAAAUAGAAUUUAUAUAAGCUGAGACACAGAAAUACACGCACCACAGCUGCAAUUUCGGAAAUGUUUAGUCAAAGGAAAUCGUAUAUUGAAGGUAGAAGCUCUGGAAGGACACUCACCCACACAAGCACACACACCUACACGCAUACAUACAUAUAGAGCGCAAGGAAACCAUUGCAAAAUGCUGUAAAGUAAGCUGCUUAUGUUAUUAGGGAUGUUGCCAGUGUGGCAGUGUGAGUGAGUGUGAUGAGUGAUGGGGGAUAAAAUUUUGGUAGAGGAAACAUUUAUGAUGUGCAAUUAGCGGUGGAGCAGGGGAGGGGUAGCGGGGGAAGGGGCUAUAACCAUAGGGACGUCGACAGGACUGCAGUGUGUGUGGAAAGUCAGCAAGUGAAAGACAGAAAAAUAUAUAUGUAGAACUAGAGCCAGAGGAGGAGAACUUAAAACCAUAUUUAAACUAUACUAUAUAGGAAACAUCAUGCUAAACAUACAAAACUGGAUAAUUCAGAUGCAGCAGAUGAUGUGGAAAGCACUCACACUCAAACCAACAAACACCCACAUACACACACACACGUGCAGGACGAACGCACUUAUAAAUAUACUAUAUAGGGAAUAAACAAGCAAAAUUGCAUAACACACACUAUAUACUAUACUAAGAAAGCGGGGCAGCGAUCGAAGAUUAAAGACAUAAUAUUAUGCAUAAAUUAAUUUAUAUACAUAUAUACAAUACAUAUAAAGCGUAAAGUAACUGUAACUCGUAACUGUAACUGUAACUGUCCCACACAGACACAUACAGCAAUACAAAGCAAAAAGAUGAAUAAGCAAAGGAGACGACAAAGUCAAGCAGCAAAGCAAGCACACACUAAAACUCUUACACACACACACACAGACGCACACCCACGAGUCCUGGGCGGAAAGUCAAGGAUAACUUAUGAAAAUUCCCUUAACUUUCCGAUCAGUAUUCGUUUAAAAGGAAAUGAAAACCUAACUUGUAAGCCAAGCAAAAGAAAACUGAACGAAAUUUUAGUCUAAAAGAAAAUACUAAUGGAGGACAAGUAAAAAUCAUGAAAUCUAGCCACAUAAGCCAAGCAAAAAGUGAACUAAAUACAAAAAAAGAAAAAAAACAAAAAACACUACAAUAAAGAUAUUCAAAAUAUGCUAGCUAAAAAGGCGAAAAACAUACACACAACUCCCGACUAUUAUAAACGGGAGGCAUAUAUUAGAGAGACUAUUAAAGGAAAGCUAAACUCAAAGCUCUAGCGAAAAGAAAAUAGAUAAAAAAAAACUCAAGCAAUACAUAGACACUCAUAGGUGUGUGUUACACAAGAAUAUAGUUAAAUAUAUACGAAAUGCAAGCAAACGUAAAAUAAAAUAAUAAUUUAAUAAACUAAUGUACAAGCGAAAAUCAAGCAAAACAAGCUCUGCGUAAAUGUUGAUUUAUUAUUUCUGUUUUUCUACACUCACUUAAGAUUUUGUUGUAUCUAUUGUUAUGAUGAUGGCAUCAAAACUAAUCAAAAACACGAACGAGAAAAGCGAGAUGUGUUAACCAAAAUUAUUUAAAGUAAUGCGAACGCGAUGGCCAAACAUUUGCGGGGGCAGCCGGCGACCUGCGAGCGAAUUCCAUUCAAAAUUGGUGCAUAAUUUGGCUGAAAUAUGAAAAUUCGAGAUAAAUAUUUACAUAUACGUGUAUGCCUUAUUGAACGAAACUAAAUUAUUUGCCCACUAAAUACUGUUAUCGUAUUGUAAUAAACCAACCCAGAGGUUUCAAAAAUACCUGCUAAAACAGAUGUCGCCGAGGUCGCCCACAUUCAAAUCCCAAACAAAAAAAUAAAAACAAUUUGGUUGAGACUCGCUGCCGCCGCAAAUGGACUUCGCUGCGAAGUUGUUGACAAAUUUUUACUAAAUUGUUAAAUAGUUAAAUACAAAACAUUUUUAAAUCGAAUCGUAACAAUAAUUAGACAUGAAAAAUUACUCUUUGUUGAAACGAAGCAACACAAAUGUAAUGUAAUGAAAUGGAAAGCAAUAAUUCACUUAGGCAUGCUCUAGUUAAAAACUAAAACUGAAAUCAAGUCGAAGAAGCAACAUAGAAACCACCAACCAACAGUACUUACAUGUAUGUCAGUCAAUAGGGAUUUUAUUUAGUUCGAAGGCCCGGAUUCGAGCACUGGGAUCAUCCAUCUAUCAUCCAGUCCCAGUUGAAUCCAAAUUGCUGGGUGGGAUGUGAGGCCUAAUUUCGAAAUGAGUUCUUCAUUCACUCUUUUCAACCAGCCAUCCCAGCAAUUUAAUCUUCCGCAGACUAAUCAGACACACAGAACCGAUCAUAACUAAUAAAUCCAAGGCAUAACUUAAGUAUAUACGUGAUAUUUUGAAAGCGAAAAUUCAUAAAUAAAUUGUUUAGGUUUAAAACAAUAUUAAAUAUAUUAUACAGAUAUAUACAUAUAUACAUUAUAAAGAUAAUGCCAAGGCAUAAUUAAAACCAUAACGAUUAAUUAAUUAAAGAACGAAUGAACAUUUUUGCUGACAAACAAAAAAGAAAACAAAGAAAAGGAAAACCAAAAGAAAAACAAACAACUGAGACGAGUAAAAUGUUUGUAAACUCAAUUUAUUGUACGACUUGAAUGAAGGAGAGCGAAAAGAAGUUCUUAAGUUUUUACUGAACAGCAGCAAAGAGCAGAGAGCAGAUUGUCCCAUCGUAAAAAUCUAUUUAGUUUAUAUAUAGUGAAUAUUUAUAUUAUAUAUACAUAUAUAUAUUAAAUGAACAAAUGGCAAGUAACAAACAAACCAACAAAAAAGAAAUAGCAAUUAGACGAACGUAAAAGGAAAGUGAAAAAUUAUAUAUAUAUACAAUACAUAUAUAUCAUAGCGCAAAGAAUAAUAUAUAUUUUAAUGAAGGAACAUCAACUGAUUAAGUGCAGCUCAACUAAGAGCACAAAAUGUUUUUAGACUAAGUACCUACCUACCUAAAUGAAUUCAGCAAUUGCAUAAUAUACAAAAGAUAGGCGAGAACGCUGAAAAGGCGCCAGGCCCAGAGAAGGGAAAUAAGAUUCUACUUCUACGGAGUCUAAUUUGUAUAAUUAUAUAUAAACGUGCAUAUUACGAGGAUAAUGCCCCAUGAUCAUCACAAAAACCAAUUAAACAAAAACGAAGCAUAUUUAACCACAUACAACAACCACACACCCACACACACACUAUACUACCUAUAAAUAUAGAAAUGAGAAAGAAGAAAAGAACGCAUAAAUAGCAAUAACAAUAAAGCAACAGCUACUUAAUAAUUUUAGCAAAAUGCAAAAAAAAAUAUGAAUAGCAAAAUA